Petromyzon marinus (sea lamprey) is the source of this 394-nucleotide long non-coding RNA. RefSeq lists it as uncharacterized. NCBI's taxonomy places the organism in Eukaryota, Metazoa, Chordata, Hyperoartia, Petromyzontiformes, Petromyzontidae. The record is from RefSeq and is a predicted model, not a curated record.
CCUCCUAAAGAAGUCUGCUCGUCCUUACAACACUACAAAACACAACCUCGUUACACGUAGGAGGAGCAGGAAGACCGCAGCAGCGACGACUCAACGGAUUCAUCGAUGCCUCCGCCGCCGCCGCCACCACCUCCUCGAAGCAAGAACCCCGCUCAGCCAAGACCUGGGCGACGAGGCGGUGGAGGAGGAGGCGGCAAGACGUCGGUCAGCGCCAGGAUCGAGCGCAAGUGAAGGAAUCCACGGUGGGGGUGGCAGCGUGCCACUGAUCUCGUAGUGCCUGGGUUCGAGCCCUGUGUCUGAGUCUCUCUCUCUCCGAGUCUCUCUCAGAGGGGGUGUCGCUUGUUGAUCUGUAGCCAAAACGUUUUGUGUUCAAAUAAAAUCGUCUUUAAACGUA